RNAcentral lists this ribosomal RNA (398 nucleotides) under Staphylococcus aureus. RNAcentral describes it as "bacterial SSU rRNA". It matches the Rfam family "Bacterial small subunit ribosomal RNA", at positions 329 to 719 of the family's 1533-position model. Lineage: Bacteria; Bacillati; Bacillota; Bacilli; Caryophanales; Staphylococcaceae. The record is from RNAcentral.
GUCCAGACUCCUACGGGCGGCAGCAGUAGGGAAUCUUCCGCAAUGGGCGAAAGCCUGACGGAGCAACGCCGCGUGAGUGAUGAAGGUCUUCGGAUCGGAAAACUCUGUUAUUAGGGAAGAACAUAUGUGUAAGUAACUGGGCACAUCUUGACGGUACCUAAUCAGAAAGCCACGGCUAACUACGUGCCAGUAGCCGCGGUAAUACGUAGGUGGCAACCGUUAUCCGGCAUUAUUGUGCUUCACGCGCGCGUAGGCGGCCGUUCAAGCCUGAGGUGAAAGCCCACGGCUCGACCGUGGAGGGUGACUGGCACCCGGAAAACUUGAGUUCAGAAAGGCAACCGUGACUUCCAUGGCUAGCGGUGAACUGUGCACAGCUGCGCACGAACACCAGUCGCGAA